This 441-nucleotide ribosomal RNA is filed under the name uncultured bacterium. RNAcentral's name for it is "partial 16S ribosomal RNA". It matches the Rfam family "Bacterial small subunit ribosomal RNA", at positions 338 to 795 of the family's 1533-position model. The record is from RNAcentral.
CCUACGGGAGGCAGCAGUGGGGAAUAUUGCACAAUGGGGGAAACCCUGAUGCAGCGACGCCGCGUGAGUGAUGAAGUAUUUCGGUAUGUAAAGCUCUAUCAGCAGGAACGAGACAAGACGGUACCUGACUAAGAAGCCCCGGCUAACUACGUGCCAGCAGCCGCGGUAAUACGUAGGGGGCAAGCGUUAUCCGGAAUCACUGGGUGUAAAGGGAGCGUAGACGGCUGUGCAAGCCUGAAGUGAAAGGCGGGGGCCCAACCCCUGGACUGCUUUGGGAACUGUACGGCUGGAGUGCAGGAGAGGUAAGUGGAAUUCGUAGUGUAGCGGUGAAAUGCGUAGAUAUUAGGAGGAACACCAGUGGCGAAGGCGGCUUACUGGACUGUAACUGACGUUGAGGCUCGAAAGCGUGGGGAGCGAACAGGAUUAGAUACCCUAGUAGUC